Molecule: ribosomal RNA, 437 nt
Filed under: uncultured Oscillospiraceae bacterium
Lineage: Bacteria; Bacillati; Bacillota; Clostridia; Eubacteriales; Oscillospiraceae
Description: partial 16S ribosomal RNA
Rfam family: Bacterial small subunit ribosomal RNA
Source: RNAcentral
ACGGAAGGCAGCAGUGGGGAAUGUUGGGCAAUGGGCGAAAGCCUGACCCAGCAACGCCGCGUGAAGGAAGAAGGUUUUCGGAUUGUAAACUUCUUUUAUCAGGGACGAGGAAAGUGACGGUACCUGAUGAAUAAGCCACGGCUAACUACGUGCCAGCAGCCGCGGUAAUACGUAGGUGGCAAGCGUUAUCCGGAUUUACUGGGUGUAAAGGGCGCGUAGGCGGGGAUGCAAGUCAGAUGUGAAAUCUAUGGGCUUAACCCAUAAACUGCAUUUGAAACUGUAUCUCUUGAGUGUCGGAGAGGUAGACGGAAUUCCUAGUGUAGCGGUGAAGUGCGUAGAUAUUAGGAGGAACACCAGUGGCGAAGGCGGUCUACUGGACGAUAACUGACGCUGAGGCGCGAAAGCGUGGGGAGCAAACAGGAUUAGAUACCCUGGUA